AGAGUUUGAUCCUGGCUCAGAGCGAACGCUAGCGGGAGGCUUAACACAUGCAAGUCGAGCGAGAACUUCGGUUCUAGCGGCGGACGGGUGAGUAACACGUAGGGCAUCUGCCCUUUGGUGGGGGAUAGCCGGAGGAAACUCCGAUUAAUACCGCAUAUGGCCCACGGGUCAAAGUCUUCGGACGCCAGAGGAGGAUCCUGCGGCCCAUUAUUUAGUCCUUGUUGGUGGGGUAACGGCCUACCAAGGGUACGAUGGGUAGCUGGUCUGAGAGGACGAUCAGCCACACUGGGACUGAGACACGGCCCAGACUCCUACGGGAGGCAGCAGUGGGGAAUCUUGCGCAAUGGGCGAAAGCCUGACGCAGCCAUCCCGCGUGAGUGAAGAAGGCCCUAGGGUUGUAAAGCUCUGUCGCGAGGGAAGAAACCUGACGGUACCUCGCAAGAAAGCACCGGCUAACUCCGUGCCAGCAGCCGCGGUAAUACGGAGGGUGCAAGCGUUGCUCGGAAUCACUGGGCGUAAAGGGUCCGCAGGCGGCCCUUCAAGUCGGAUGUGAAAGCCCAGGGCUCAACCCUGGAACUGCAUUCGAAACUGGAGGGCUUGAGUACGAGAGAGGGAAGUGGAAUUCCUGGUGUAGAGGUGAAAUUCGUAGAUAUCAGGAGGAACACCAGUGGCGAAAGCGGCUUCCUGGCUCGAUACUGA
This 699-nucleotide ribosomal RNA is filed under the name uncultured bacterium. RNAcentral describes it as "bacterial SSU rRNA". It matches the Rfam family "Bacterial small subunit ribosomal RNA", at positions 8 to 743 of the family's 1533-position model. The record is from RNAcentral.